RNAcentral lists this ribosomal RNA (400 nucleotides) under Microbacterium sp. RNAcentral describes it as "bacterial SSU rRNA". It matches the Rfam family "Bacterial small subunit ribosomal RNA", at positions 102 to 516 of the family's 1533-position model. The record is from RNAcentral. Lineage: Bacteria; Bacillati; Actinomycetota; Actinomycetes; Micrococcales; Microbacteriaceae.
ACGGGUGAGUAACACGUGAGCAAUCUGCCCCUGACUCUGGGAUAAGCGCUGGAAACGGCGUCUAAUACCGGAUACGAGCUGCGACCGCAUGGUCAGUAGCUGGAAAGAAUUUCGGUCAGGGAUGAGCUCGCGGCCUAUCAGCUUGUUGGUGAGGUAAUGGCUCACCAAGGCGUCGACGGGUAGCCGGCCUGAGAGGGUGACCGGCCACACUGGGACUGAGACACGGCCCAGACUCCUACGGGAGGCAGCAGUGGGGAAUAUUGCACAAUGGGCGAAAGCCUGAUGCAGCAACGCCGCGUGAGGGAUGACGGCCUUCGGGUUGUAAACCUCUUUUAGCAGGGAAGAAGCGAAAGUGACGGUACCUGCAGAAAAAGCGCCGGCUAACUACGUGCCAGCCGCC